Molecule: non-coding RNA, 69 nt
Organism: Rattus norvegicus (Norway rat)
Lineage: Eukaryota; Metazoa; Chordata; Mammalia; Rodentia; Muridae
Source: Rfam
GGGGAUUUAGCUCAGUGGUAGAGCGCUUGCCUGGCAAGCACAAGGCCCUGGGUUCAGUCCCCAGCUCCG